This 1180-nucleotide long non-coding RNA is filed under the name Equus caballus (horse). RNAcentral describes it as "lncRNA (ENSECAG00000053368.1)". The record is from RNAcentral. Lineage: Eukaryota; Metazoa; Chordata; Mammalia; Perissodactyla; Equidae.
AUAGAUGAGGAGAGCCAAAUUUCUCACUGUCAGAGUAAGAAGUAUCAGCAUGAACUCAAGUUUGUUUGUUUUUGUGGUACAAUAUACAUAACAUAACAUUUACCCUUUUAACCAUUUUUAACUGUAAAAUUCAGUGGCAUUAAGUACAUUCAUAAUGUUGUGCAACCAUAACCCCUAUCCAUUUCCAGAACUUUUUCUUCAUCCCAAACAGAAACUAUGCAACUGUGAAAUCCCCAUUCCCCACUCUUUCCAGUCUUGCUAACCUCUGUUAUACUUUCUGCCUCUGUGGAUAUGCCUGUUCUAGGUACCUCAUGUAAGUGGAAUCAUGCAAUAUUUAUCCUUGUGUAUCUUGUGUGCCUUGUGUGUCUUGCUUAUUUCACUUAGCAUAAUGCUUUCUAGGUUCAUCCAUGUUGUAGCACGUAUCAGAAUUUCAUUCCUUUUUAAGGCUGAAUAAUAUUCCAUUAUAUAUAUACCACAUUUUGUUUAUCCAUUCAUUUGUCAAUGGACACAUGUUUUUUCAAAUAUAUACAGAUAGCUACAGAAAUAAAUAUAGAAACGUGUGUAUCCAUGUAUUAGUAUACGUACAAGUAUUUCCUGUCUCUGUCUGCUGAGAGAGCCUAGAAGCAAUGACGCUCCAGUAACAAUGAACACACCUAGCACCCAGAUCUUGGUUUAUAAAUACCAUUCUCUAAAAAAAGGAACCAGGGCCCUUUGGAGAAGUGGUAACAUUACAGGCCUUGGGCAGAGAAAAUGUGAGGUGAGCCUGAAGCAUUUUAUGGGGCCAGAGAAUAAGAAAAUGCCUUUAAAAGGUUGAGAGCACGAUAAAAAGGCACAUGAGCCAUCCUAAUGCAGUUCCCAAUAGCCAAAGCUAGAAUAAUUUGGGGAAUAAAAUAAACAAUAAUAGUAGUAAUAUUAAUCUUAGACUAUGACCACAUAACUAUCUGUGACUUCCUACUGAUAUAAAUAAUUUAAUAAAUAAUAAAUGGAAAUGAAAGAAUAGCUCCUCCUUUCAGAAGAAUUCCCACUGAGAGAUGUAGAAAGAAUGAAGGAAGUAGAACAAUCACCAUUAGAACACCACAGUAACAAUUGUUGCAAGCAAGACCACCAGAUGCUAAAGUUAGUGGGCAAAAUUUUGAAGAGAAAGUAGAUAUUUUCAUCAUCUCAAAGCGUCUCUUCCAAG